GACCCCAUCGUCUAGUCGGCCCAGGACUCAGCCCUUUCAAGGCUGCAACACGGGUUCGAAUCCCGUUGGGGUCGCCA
RNAcentral lists this transfer RNA (77 nucleotides) under Planctomycetota bacterium. Its description in RNAcentral is "tRNA-Glu". It matches the Rfam family "tRNA". From Rfam's summary of the family: Transfer RNA (tRNA) molecules are approximately 80 nucleotides in length. Their secondary structure includes four short double-helical elements and three loops (D, anti-codon, and T loops). Further hydrogen bonds mediate the characteristic L-shaped molecular structure. tRNAs have two regions of fundamental functional importance: the anti-codon, which is responsible for specific mRNA codon recognition, and the 3' end, to which the tRNAs corresponding amino acid is attached (by aminoacyl-tRNA synthetases). tRNAs cope with the degeneracy of the genetic code in two manners: having more than one tRNA (with a specific anti-codon) for a particular amino acid; and 'wobble' base-pairing, i.e. permitting non-standard base-pairing at the 3rd anti-codon position. Lineage: Bacteria; Pseudomonadati; Planctomycetota. The record is from RNAcentral.